AGUCACAGAGUAUAUUUAUAAUUUGGUUUAUAUGAGCAACAGUGUAAGUUGAGGAAAAUUGGUUUCCUUUUCAAAAUGUCAUGUUUCUCAUUUCCUCGGAAUCUCGGGCUGCUUCGAGCUCUUAUCAGCCUUUAAAUCAUUCAAAAACACACUCCCUAAUUAAAAUGCUGUAAAUCCUCAUGAAUCAAUUUAGGAUUUUUGAUUUGUUCUAAACCAGUUUUUAAAUAAAGUUGAAAGCUUACUAAAAUAUGAGAUAAUAAAUACAAGUGCAAAGCAAAGGAAAGAAGCCCACAUGCGGAUAGCUGAUGGUGGAGUCAGAGCUGGGAUGAAAACCAAGACUUGUGGACACGAGGGAAGUGGUUCUGGGCCCCCAGAGCAGGAACAAGGUCGCUUUCUGUUCAGCCUCCCAUGAAGCAUACAAGUGGCUGCGGGAGAAUCUGCUUGAAAAAGAAAGAACUUUUCUGAAUUGCGAGGUGACUUGAAAACACUGUAUUGUAAUGGCUGGCAUUGGCUGGAGAAGAGGGAAGGGGGUGUCGCAGCGGGGAUGCACCAGCCUGCCACCGACAUGGACCUGUGCCCAACUCCAGCUUGACUCCAAGUAACACACAAUCGUAAGUCAAAGUAAUAAGAGCAUUUAAUUGGUCACUAGUGACUGUUUUAGUAAUUUACUGUGUGGCAUCAAAGGAUUAAAAAAAAGGCCCACAAGGGAAAGCAGGGGAGCCACGGUCCUAAAAGUUUCCCUUGAGCAGGACCCAGGGGGAUUCUCCGAGAUGACCCCACUGCUCCAGGAGCACUGAUCCUGCUGGCGAUCAGCCCUGCUGGCCCCCAGCCUCACAGAAAGCCCACAGACAAGCCAAAAUGAUGCCCAGCUCUUUGGUUUAUUGGGUACCAUCCAAAUCCCACAACCUUCCUGAGGGGAGGCUGGAUGGGGAUGACUGCUGCCACACUCGAAAUAACUCAGUUUAGGCCAAUGGGAUGCAGUGCCUGGCUGUUGUUUUCAAAGGGUAAAAUGUCACUGAUGGCAGAUUUUUAACCUAGUGCAAUUCAGCAGAUAUUUGAUACUUUUAUUUCCUUCUGCUGACUUUAUACGGUGGAACAGGAGGCGGUUUGCACAGAUUAAACAGUAUUCUGUCUGCAAAUUAAAAUCAAUAACUUAUUUAUAGGGCUGCCGAUGUUCCCACAGCAAAACAAGCCUGCCAAGUGGCUGUAAAAGUCCCGAAUCAAAUGCCGUGUAUCUCCAGCCCAUCUACGCAGUUGGCUGUCUGUGGCCAUAGAUACAACACAACUUAUCUAGUAAUUGUAUCGCCUGGUA
RNAcentral lists this long non-coding RNA (1312 nucleotides) under Anas platyrhynchos platyrhynchos (common mallard). Its description in RNAcentral is "lncRNA (ENSAPLG00000025506.1)". Lineage: Eukaryota; Metazoa; Chordata; Aves; Anseriformes; Anatidae. The record is from RNAcentral.